AGUACGAGAGGACCAGAGUGGACGAACCUCUGGUGUACCGGUUGUGACGCCAGUCGCAUCGCCGGGUAGCUAUGUUCGGAAGGGAUAACCGCUGAAAGCAUCUAAGCGGGAAGCCUACCUCAAGAUAAGAUUUCCCCGAGACUUUAUGUCUCCUAAAGAGCCGUUGAAGACUACGACGUUGAUAGGUUGGAUGUGGAAGUGCAGUGAUGCAUGAAGCUGACCAAUACUAAUUGCUCGUGAGGCUUGACUAUACAACACCCAAACAGUUG
RNAcentral lists this ribosomal RNA (269 nucleotides) under Acinetobacter pseudolwoffii. RNAcentral describes it as "partial 23S ribosomal RNA". It matches the Rfam family "Bacterial large subunit ribosomal RNA", at positions 2680 to 2925 of the family's 2925-position model. The record is from RNAcentral. Lineage: Bacteria; Pseudomonadati; Pseudomonadota; Gammaproteobacteria; Moraxellales; Moraxellaceae.